AUUGAACGCUGGCGGCAGGCCUAACACAUGCAAGUCGAGCGGAUGAAGGGAGCUUGCUCCUGGAUUCAGCGGCGGACGGGUGAGUAAUGCCUAGGAAUCUGCCUGGUAGUGGGGGAUAACGUCCGGAAACGGGCGCUAAUACCGCAUACGUCCUGAGGGAGAAAGUGGGGGUCUUUGGACCUCACGCCUUUAGCAGAGCCUAGGUCGGAUUAGCUAGUUGGUGGGGUAAAGGCCUACCAAGGCGACGAUCCGUAACUGGUCUGAGAGGAUGAUCAGUCACACUGGAACUGAGACACGGUCCAGACUCCUACGGGAGGCAGCAGUGGGGAAUAUUGGACAAAGGGCGAAAGCCUGAUCCAGCCAUGCCGCGUGUGUGAAGAAGGUCUUCGGAUUGUAAAGCACUUUAAGUUGGGAGGAAGGGCAGUAAGUUAAUACCUUGCUGUUUUGACGUUACCAACAGAAUAAGCACCGGCUAACUUCGUG
RNAcentral lists this ribosomal RNA (483 nucleotides) under uncultured bacterium. Its description in RNAcentral is "partial 16S ribosomal RNA". It matches the Rfam family "Bacterial small subunit ribosomal RNA", at positions 30 to 507 of the family's 1533-position model. The record is from RNAcentral.